AAUCAGGGGAGCUUCGAUUGAGAAGCUGAGAGUAAGGUAUUCCUUAGACCCUUUGAACCUGUUGGAUAAUGCCAGCGCAGGAAGAUUGA
This 89-nucleotide non-coding RNA is filed under the name uncultured Anaerobutyricum sp. RNAcentral describes it as "TPP riboswitch (THI element)". It matches the Rfam family "TPP riboswitch aptamer (THI element)", at positions 7 to 92 of the family's 105-position model. From Rfam's summary of the family: Vitamin B(1) in its active form thiamin pyrophosphate (TPP) is an essential coenzyme that is synthesised by coupling of pyrimidine and thiazole moieties in bacteria. The previously detected thiamin-regulatory element, thi box was extended, resulting in a new, highly conserved RNA secondary structure, the THI element, which is widely distributed in eubacteria and also occurs in some archaea. Analysis of operon structures identified a large number of new candidate thiamin-regulated genes, mostly transporters, in various prokaryotic organisms. The record is from RNAcentral. Lineage: Bacteria; Bacillati; Bacillota; Clostridia; Lachnospirales; Lachnospiraceae.